Etheostoma cragini (Arkansas darter) is the source of this 1313-nucleotide long non-coding RNA. RefSeq lists it as uncharacterized. NCBI's taxonomy places the organism in Eukaryota, Metazoa, Chordata, Actinopteri, Perciformes, Percidae. The record is from RefSeq and is a predicted model, not a curated record. The transcript has 2 exons.
GACAGUUUGCCCAAGGUCCUGUAGCUGUAGUCAUGGAUAUAGCUAAUGGUUAUAAUUCACUAUGUGUUCUAUUAAUACAUCCAUGGUAUGAUCUUAUGAUACGAGGCAUGUACGUAUGUAUGCUGUAAAGCCUUUAACGUGGAUGUAACGUCAUUAGCGUUUUCCAAACUUCCGGGGCUAUCGGCUAGUAGCUAACAUCAGCGGUAGCUAGCAGUUGAGUUCUGUUGACAACUAUGCGUUGCACAACAUACGUCACAUACUCCGUUGAUCUGAUUGGUUAUCGGUUUAUCCAACUGAGUGCAGGGGAUUUUCUUUCCUGGUUCGGUUGAAACACACGCCAUACUCACAGCCCAAUGGAGCAGUAUCAGACUCAUAUUCUGACUAGAAUCAGAGUAUGACGAUAUCAAGCUAGUGUGAAAAUGCAUAAUGAUAAAUACGCACUAGGAUCAUUCAGGUGCCAUCCAUAUUGGAUGCACGUCUGAUGUUAAAUACAUAGAACAUUUUGUCGUAACAUUGAUGUUGAAUGAACUUCUCCUAGUCCCAUGAAUUACUGCUACCUUCAUAUAUUGUACGUCUGGACAUAUUUGUUCCCACGUCUCAGUUAUGACUUUAUGGAGCUUUUUAACGCCUCAGUUGUGAAUUGAGGGCUGCCAUUAACAGUUCCCAUGGGAUGUGAUAUUACACAUCUCUUUGUUGUUGCUAGUGUCUUCAGAAAAAAACAAAACUACAGCCAGGCAAUUAAUAACACGUUGACAAGAAUAUUUGUGAUGCACUACUGCUGGAGAUAUUCAUCAUGUAAUCUGUUGCACUUAAUUUGUUUUUACAGACACUUCUGUCUCCUUACAUCUGUGAUAUGAGUGUCUUUACACUCUGACUUGUAUUGUCAUAUAUAAUACAAUACAUAGCCUAAAGCCAAUAAUAAUUGAGUGUGUGUUUCACUGGUUUUAGUGUCUAGUCAUCAAUGCAGGUUUGUGGGAGAUUUUUAAAGAUCAGAGACACAGGACAUUGAACGUGCAUGUGAAUUGAAAUAAGGGAACAGAACCCACAUUAGUGCUCAGUACUACUACACCUUACCACAGUACUGCAACAAAAAUAGCCACCCUUUUACUUAACACUCCACCCAUGUAAGUUAAGGAUUAACUAAAGCUGUAGCAUUUCUAUAAAGUUACCGAGCCUCCCUAUGCUGUAAUGUUUUUCUAUAGUUGGGACCAUAACUCGAUGAUUAAGUGCUUGAUAUAAUGCCAUAAAUUAAAUGUACUGACUCUAACCCCUCUGUGAAGUCCUCCUAAUAAAUCCCUGGUUUAAGAGAUUCA